This 426-nucleotide ribosomal RNA is filed under the name uncultured archaeon. RNAcentral describes it as "bacterial SSU rRNA". It matches the Rfam family "Archaeal small subunit ribosomal RNA", at positions 474 to 903 of the family's 1478-position model. The record is from RNAcentral.
UACCAGCUCUCCGAGUUGUAGGGAUGAUUAUUGGGCUUAAAGCGUCCGUAGCUGGCUUAGCAAGUCUCCUGUUAAAUUCAGCGACCUAUCGUUGAGCCGCGGGAGAUACUACUAGGCUAGGAGGCGGGAGAGGUCGACGGUACUUUCGGGGUAGGGGUGAAAUCCUAUAAUCCCGGGAGGACCACCAGUGGCGAAGGCUGUCGACUAGAACGCGCUCGACGGUGAGGGACGAAAGCUGGGGGAGCGAACCGGAUUAGAUACCCGGGUAGUCCCAGCUGUAAACUAUGCGGGCUAGGUGUUGGGGUGGCUACGGGCCACUUCAGUGCCGCAUGAAAGCCAUUAAGCCCGCCGCCUGGGGAGUACGGCCGCAAGGCUGAAACUUAAAGGAUUGGCGGGGAGCACCACAAGGCGUGAAGCUUGCGGUUC